RNAcentral lists this ribosomal RNA (468 nucleotides) under uncultured bacterium. RNAcentral's name for it is "partial 16S ribosomal RNA". It matches the Rfam family "Bacterial small subunit ribosomal RNA", at positions 28 to 507 of the family's 1533-position model. The record is from RNAcentral.
GACGAACGCUGGCGGCGUGCUUAACACAUGCCAGUCGAACGGAAAGGCCCUGCUUUUGUGGGGUGCUCGAGUGGCGAACGGGUGAGUAACACGUGAGUAACCUGCCCUUGACUUUGGGAUAACUUCAGGAAACUGGGGCUAAUACCGGAUAGGAGCUCCUGCUGCAUGGUGGGGGUUGGAAAGUUUCGGCGGGUGGGGAUGGACUCGCGGCUUAUCAGAUUGUUGGUGGGGUAGUGGCUUACCAAGGCUUUGACGGGUAGCCGGCCUGAGAGGGUGACCGGCAACAUUGGGACUGAGAUACGGCCCAGACUCCUACGGGAGGCAGCAGUGGGGAAUAUUGCACAAUGGGCGGAAGCCUGAUGCAGCAACGCCGCGUGCGGGAUGACGGCCUUCGGGUUGUAAACCGCUUUCGCCUGUGACGAAGCGUGAGUGACGGUAAUGGGUAAAGAAGCACCGGCUAACUACGUG